Panthera uncia (snow leopard) is the source of this 504-nucleotide long non-coding RNA. RefSeq lists it as uncharacterized. The record is from RefSeq and is a predicted model, not a curated record. The transcript has 3 exons. Lineage: Eukaryota; Metazoa; Chordata; Mammalia; Carnivora; Felidae.
CUGAUCUUGUUCAUGGCAGGUUUAGCUCACAAGCCUAUCUUCUACUUGUUUCCUUGCAACAUCAUUUAGCUACUGCAUCUGUUAGCCACCCCUUCACUCAGAGGCAGCUGUGCAAAGAUUGAACCAUGUGAUCCUGAAAGCACAACACUGAAAGCUUCUGACUGUGCCAAGAGGAGAGAGUAGGGAAACAAAGGCCAAAGCCAGGGCCAAAGCCAGCUGCCAGGAACCCCCAUCUCCAACAGCAACACAGGAAAAUAAUAUUCUUCAUCAGCCAAUUCUCCUCAUCCCUGUUGAUUCUGCAGCUAGUUCAGCUAGGCUUUAAUCUUAAAGGUGAUGGAAGCUACUGAAGCACUAUGUGUCAUCUGUGGGCAGGUUGGUAUUUAUCCUCCAAAAUGUUAAUCAGGGCCUCUGCUAUUGUGCAGCUCCAGAGAACACCAUUUGCCUCAUGGCCUAUGUCAUACAAUAGGGGGCGCCUUUCACAUAUGGUACAAUGUAAAUGGUGCC